Non-coding RNA from Pogona vitticeps (central bearded dragon), 344 nucleotides. The record is from RefSeq and is a predicted model, not a curated record. NCBI's taxonomy places the organism in Eukaryota, Metazoa, Chordata, Lepidosauria, Squamata, Agamidae.
GAAUGUGACACAUCUGACCUGGAAGCCCUAGCUUGUGAUUGAAGAGGAGCUAGGCAAAGUAGCCUCUUAACCCCAUCAACAGCCACUGUCUCUUCAGUUUCCAUCUUUUCACAGCUACCUGUAGUUUCUGUCUUCAGUUACAGAAGACCUUUGAGCUGACCUCAGGUAUUCCAUUUUCCUAUCUAACUAAAAUGAAGGAGCAAGAAGCAGCAGCAGAAAGUGACUUCAGAAAAAGAAGGAAGAAGGCCGAAGAGCACCAAUCUAUAGAUAGAGCGAGCCUGUGCUAACUCAUCUGAGAUAAACUGAAUUUCAAAAAAAUCAGCACAAACCAUAUUCAUCAAAGU